CAGCGUCGCGUAUGUGUGUGUGCGCUUGAUUGGAAAAAAUACAAAAAAUGAAGACGAACGUACCUUGAUCGGAAACGAAGAACGGAAUCACAGCGGGGAAGAGACAAAUCGAAGAAGAACUUGAGCGAGAGCAGAUUUUCAGUAGAUUUGAGUGAAGAAUUUAAGUAGUGGGGUGAAGAAUUGAAAGAGCCGAGACCGAGAGAGUGUUGAAACGGUGGAGAGAAAUUAGGGCAAAAAAAUGAGAGGAAAUGAAAAAUAAUUAGAAAAAAGCUUUUAUAUUUUGUACUACGGGUCGGGCCGGGUGUGAAUUCGGGUCGGGCAAACCCGCCUCAUGCGGUGAGGUUGACCUCACGCAAGAAUUUGCGUAACUUAUUUUAUUUUAUUUUUUCGAGAAUUUUUUGGGUAUAACUUCAUUUUUGUUGUUUCUAGUUGCCAACGCAUGGACACUACUAAAUAAAGAUUUAUGAUAAUUAGCCGCAUUAGACUUGCCAACGGGUGGAAAUGAUUUUUUUUAAUAGAACAACGGCUAGAAAUAGUUACAUUACUCAAUUGCAAAUUGAUCAAAGCAAACUUUUUUCACCGCAACAAUUUGUUAAUUGAGGAACAUGAAGCCUGGC
This 617-nucleotide long non-coding RNA is filed under the name Salvia miltiorrhiza (redroot sage). Its description in RNAcentral is "long non-coding RNA (SMIL_LNC002956)". Lineage: Eukaryota; Viridiplantae; Streptophyta; Magnoliopsida; Lamiales; Lamiaceae. The record is from RNAcentral.